GGGGAUUUAGCUCAGUGAUAGAGCGCUUGCCUAGCAAGCACAAGACCCUGGGUUCGGUCCCCAGCUCCG
RNAcentral lists this transfer RNA (69 nucleotides) under Rattus norvegicus (Norway rat). It matches the Rfam family "tRNA". From Rfam's summary of the family: Transfer RNA (tRNA) molecules are approximately 80 nucleotides in length. Their secondary structure includes four short double-helical elements and three loops (D, anti-codon, and T loops). Lineage: Eukaryota; Metazoa; Chordata; Mammalia; Rodentia; Muridae. The record is from Rfam by way of RNAcentral.